AUGCAAAGAGAAAACCCAAAGCAGGAGCGAGGAGAGGGGCGGGGCGUUGGAGGGGCCCGGGGCAAUCGCCCGGCACCCCUGGAAGGCCUGCAUCCCGUGGGCUCUGUGGGCUCGGGGCUUCCCAGAGGGAGAGGCUGUGCCCCAGCGGCUCCGCCCCAGCUGUGCGGUCGCCGGGCCCCAGGGACGAUGCCGAGACAAUCUCAUGAUCUCGACUCUCGGCCUGAGCGGUGGGCAGGUACGUGGGCCCUGUUCCCUCCCUGUUCCCUCCCGGUUCCCUCCCGACAGUCAAGGCCAUGGCCCGGGGAGGCCAAGCAGGUCCCGCCCAGACACCUGCCUCUAGGGACGCGGGAGUGCGCUCCCCUUCCCAGCCUGGCUUGGGCUGGAGGGGGGGGGCGGGGGGGGCAUUCUGCAGGGCAUGGGGGUGCUGGAGGGCAGGGGGUGCGGGGGUGUGCUGGAGGGAAGGGGGGGUUGGAGGGCAGAGGGGGGCUGGAGAGCAGGGGGGCUGGAGAGUGUGGGGGGUUGCUGGAGGGCAGGGGGUGCUGGAGGGCAGAGGGGGGCUGGAGGGCGGGGGGCUGUAGGGCACGGGGUGGAUUGGAGGGCAGGGGAGCUGGAGGGCACGGGGGUGCUGGAGGACAGGGGUGCUGCAGGGCGGGGGGGUGCUGGAGGGAAGGGGGUGUUGGAGGGCAGAGGGGGGCUGGAGGGCACGGGGGUCCUGGAGGGCAGAGGGGCGGGGCUGGAGGGCGGGGUGCUGGAGGGCUCGGGGCAGCUGGAGGCCGCGGGGGUGGGGGCUGGAGGGCGGGGGCUGGAGGGCGGAGGGGGGGUAGAGCAGCCCAGGGCUGGGGGUGCAGUAGGAGCGCGGCCCCACGGGAGGCAAGACACCGGAGUCGCCUUGAGAUCUCCUCUCACGCAGCAAAGCAAAACUGGAGAAGCGCAGCUCCACCUCCCCGCGCAAGUCAGGAAGGAGCUAAGCCUUCGGGAACACGGGAUGUGGGAGACGGAAGUGCGGUGGCGCAGGGCCCAGGCGGUGUGGGGUGUGGGCCGCAGCCCUCCAGCCCCCUCCCCGGCCCCCCUCCCUGUCCCCGGGGACACCUGCUGGGCCCCAGCCCUGCCUGCCGAGGGACAAGGGACAAGGAACGGAACAUGCUUCCUUUUUAG
This 1155-nucleotide long non-coding RNA is filed under the name Canis lupus familiaris (dog). RNAcentral's name for it is "lncRNA (ENSCAFG00030000736.1)". The record is from RNAcentral. Lineage: Eukaryota; Metazoa; Chordata; Mammalia; Carnivora; Canidae.